CGCGUAGGGCGCAAGCGUUGUCCGGAAUUACUGGGUGUAAAGCGCGUGUAGGCGGCAGGCCAAGUCUGUGGUGAAAUCGCCCGGCUCAACUGGGCGGGGUCCAUGGAAACUGGUCAGCUGGAGGACGGUAGAGGUGAGUGGAAUUCCCGGUGUAGUGGUGAAAUGCGUAGAGAUCGGGAGGAACACCCGUGGCGAAGGCGGCUCACUGGGCCGGUCCUGACGCUGAGACGCGAAGGCGUGGGGAGCGAACGGG
RNAcentral lists this ribosomal RNA (253 nucleotides) under uncultured bacterium. Its description in RNAcentral is "partial 16S ribosomal RNA". It matches the Rfam family "Bacterial small subunit ribosomal RNA", at positions 524 to 776 of the family's 1533-position model. The record is from RNAcentral.